RNAcentral lists this small RNA (92 nucleotides) under Salmonella enterica. RNAcentral's name for it is "partial RtT sRNA". It matches the Rfam family "RtT RNA", at positions 1 to 88 of the family's 130-position model. Rfam says of the family: This family represents a bacterial cis-regulatory element known as RtT RNA. The exact function of RtT is unknown although it is thought that it may be involved in changing the cellular response in relation to amino acid starvation. The record is from RNAcentral. Lineage: Bacteria; Pseudomonadati; Pseudomonadota; Gammaproteobacteria; Enterobacterales; Enterobacteriaceae.
UGUAUCGGAAGCCUGACGAGGAUGAGAACCUCCGGGGGCAAGAGGUUCGACUCGAGCGCAGCGAGAGAACGUUGCGUCAGCAACGGCCCGCA